Molecule: ribosomal RNA, 465 nt
Filed under: uncultured bacterium
Lineage: Bacteria
Description: partial 16S ribosomal RNA
Rfam family: Bacterial small subunit ribosomal RNA
Source: RNAcentral
CCUACGGGUGGCUGCAGUAGGGAAUCUUCCACAAUGGGCGAAAGCCUGAUGGAGUCACGCCGCGUGGGUGAUGAAGGUCUUCGGAUCGUAAAACCCUGUUGUUAGAGAAGAAAGUGCGUGAGAGUAACUGUUCACGUUUCGACGGUAUCUAAUCAGAACGCCACGGCUAACUACGUGCCAGCAGCCGCGGUAAUACGUAGGUGGCAAGCGUUAUCCGGAUUUAUUGGGCGUAAAGGGAUCGCUGGCGGUCUUUUAAGUCUGAGGGUAAAGUCUUGGGCUUAAACGGAGUAGUGCAUUGGAAACUGGGAAACGUGAGUGAGAUAGAGGAAAGUGGAACUCCAUGUGUAGCGGUGAAAUGCGUAGAUAUAUGGAAGAACACCAGAGGCGAAGGCAGCUCUCUGGGUUGAAACUGACGCUGAGGUUCGAAAGCGUGGGGAGCAAACAGGAUUAGAUACCCGAGUAGUC